AAUAAGCGGAGGAAAAGAAACCAACCGGGAUUGCCUCAGUAACGGCGAGUGAAGCGGCAAAAGCUCAAAUUUGAAAUCUGGUACCUUCGGUGCCCGAGUUGUAAUUUGUAGAGGGCGACUUUGGGGCGGCUCCUUGUCUAUGUUCCUUGGAACAGGACGUCAUAGAGGGUGAGAAUCCCGUGUGGCGAGGAGUGCGGUUCCGUGUAAAGCGCUCUCGAAGAGUCGAGUUGUUUGGGAAUGCAGCUCUAAGUGGGUGGUAAAUUCCAUCUAAAGCUAAAUAUUGGCGAGAGACCGAUAGCGAACAAGUACAGUGAUGGAAAGAUGAAAAGAACUUUGAAAAGAGAGUGAAAAAGUACGUGAAAUUGUUGAAAGGGAAGGGCAUUUGAUCAGACAUGGUGUUUUGCGCCCCCCGCUCCUCGUGGGUGGGGGACUCUCGCAGCUCACUGGGCCAGCAUCAGUUUUGGCGGCCGGACAAAACUGCAGGAACGUAGCUUGCUUCGGGAAGUGUUACAGCCUGCAGGAAUACGGCCAGCCGGGACUGAGGAAUGCGAUUCGUCAAGGAUGCUGGCAUAAUGGUUAUAUGCCGCCCGUCUUGAAACACGGACCAAGGAGUCUAACGUCUAUGCGAGUGUUUGGGUGUGAAACCCAUA
Molecule: ribosomal RNA, 650 nt
Filed under: Maudiozyma humilis
Lineage: Eukaryota; Fungi; Ascomycota; Saccharomycetes; Saccharomycetales; Saccharomycetaceae
Description: Kazachstania humilis partial large subunit ribosomal RNA
Rfam family: Eukaryotic large subunit ribosomal RNA
Source: RNAcentral